Homo sapiens (human) is the source of this 392-nucleotide long non-coding RNA. NCBI's taxonomy places the organism in Eukaryota, Metazoa, Chordata, Mammalia, Primates, Hominidae. The record is from Ensembl.
CCGCUUCUCCAGACGGGAGCGCGGUUGGGCCUCCAUACAAAGGCUGCGCUUCUGCCAUGGCGGGCACAGGACAAUGCGCUGCAGAGCACACUGAGUGGGAGAGCAAAUUCUGGAACUGUCGCAGGCGGAAACCACACAAGGGGGAAACAGACAAAACAGCAAACCCGGAAGAACCAUUCCCGCUUCCGAAGCUCCAUGAUCACGGCAGACGCUUCUUAAAACCUCCCGUUUAAUAUCAGAUGCCACACAUACGAGAUCGAUGUGCACGUCGGGAGAAACCACAGCACAGCCAGGAGUACUGGCGCACAGUGAAUACGCUUCCGUCCUUUCAAAAGCCUUUCCCGAACGGUAUCUUGUAAAAAAUGCCAAAAAUAAAAUGAAAAAAACUGCCA